UGGGGAAUUUUGGACAAUGGGCGAAAGCCUGAUCCAGCAAUGCCGCGUGUGUGAAGAAGGCCUUCGGGUUGUAAAGCACUUUUGUCCGGAAAGAAAUCCUUGGCUCUAAUACAGUCGGGGGAUGACGGUACCGGAAGAAUAAGCACCGGCUAACUACGUGCCAGCAGCCGCGGUAAUACGUAGGGUGCAAGCGUUAAUCGGAAUUACUGGGCGUAAAGCGUGCGCAGGCGGUUUGCUAAGACCGAUGUGAAAUCCCCGGGCUCAACCUGGGAACUGCAUUGGUGACUGGCAGGCUAGAGUAUGGCAGGAGGGGGGUAGAAUUCCACGUGUAGCAGUGAAAUGCGUAGAGAUGUGGAGGAAUACCGAUGGCGAAGGCAGCCCCCUGGGCAAAUACUGACGCUCAUGCACGAAAGCGUGGGGAGCAAACAGGAUUAGAUACCCUGGUAGUCCACGCCCUAAACGAUGUCAACUAGUUGUUGGGGAUUCAUUUCCUUAGUAACGUAGCUAACGCGUGAAGUUGACCGCCUGGGGAGUACGGUCGCAAAGAUUAAAACUUAAAUGAAUUGACGGGGUCAUAGCUGUUUCCU
This 587-nucleotide ribosomal RNA is filed under the name uncultured bacterium. RNAcentral describes it as "partial 16S ribosomal RNA". It matches the Rfam family "Bacterial small subunit ribosomal RNA", at positions 355 to 1375 of the family's 1533-position model. The record is from RNAcentral.